This 89-nucleotide small nucleolar RNA is filed under the name Ascoidea rubescens DSM 1968. The record is from RNAcentral. Lineage: Eukaryota; Fungi; Ascomycota; Saccharomycetes; Ascoideales; Ascoideaceae.
UUUUAUGAUGAAAAAAGUGCAACAGUUGAAUUUCUUCGGCUGAUCAUACAUGAGGAAAGAAACCCUUUCAGAGCUUUUUAAUACUGAUG